UGUCAGGUAAAAGGGGACUAGAGC
Molecule: non-coding RNA, 24 nt
Filed under: Rattus norvegicus (Norway rat)
Lineage: Eukaryota; Metazoa; Chordata; Mammalia; Rodentia; Muridae
Source: RNAcentral